Molecule: microRNA, 23 nt
Filed under: Columba livia (rock pigeon)
Lineage: Eukaryota; Metazoa; Chordata; Aves; Columbiformes; Columbidae
Description: cli-miR-1641-5p
Source: miRBase by way of RNAcentral
UGAGGAUUAAUGACUGUCUGGGG